Molecule: ribosomal RNA, 186 nt
Filed under: uncultured bacterium
Lineage: Bacteria
Description: partial 16S ribosomal RNA
Rfam family: Bacterial small subunit ribosomal RNA
Source: RNAcentral
CCACACGAAGCUGGAAUCGCUAGUAAUCGCGAAUCAGAAUGUCGCGGUGAAUACGUUCCCGGGUCUUGUACACACCGCCCGUCACACCAUGGGAGUUUGUAACGCCCAAAGUCGGUGGCCUAACCUUUAUGGAGGGAGCCGCCUAAGGCGGGACAGAUGACUGGGGUGAAGUCGUAACAAGGUAUC